ACGCUGGCGGCAGGCUUAACACAUGCAAGUCGAACGGUAGCAGGAGAAAGGUUGCUUUCUUGCUGACGAGUGGCGGACGGGUGAGUAAUGCUUGGGAAUCUGGCUUAUGGAGGGGGAUAACGACGGGAAACUGUCGCUAAUACCGCGUAUUAUCGGAAGAUGAAAGUGCGGGACUGAGAGGCCGCAUGCCAUAGGAUGAGCCCAAGUGGGAUUAGGUAGUUGGUGGGGUAAAGGCCUACCAAGCCUGCGAUCUCUAGCUGGUCUGAGAGGAUGACCAGCCACACUGGAACUGAGACACGGUCCAGACUCCUACGGGAGGCAGCAGUGGGGAAUAUUGCGCAAUGGGGGGAACCCUGACGCAGCCAUGCCGCGUGAAUGAAGAAGGCCUUAGGGUUGUAAAGUUCUUUCGGUAUUGAGGAAGGUUGAUGUGUUAAUAGCACAUCAAAUUGACGUUAAAUACAGAAGAAGCACCGGCUAACUCCGUGCCAGCAGCCGCGGUAAUACGGAGGGUACGAGCGUUAAUCGGAAUAACUGGGCGUAAAGGGCACGCAGGCGGUUAUUUAAGUGAGGUGUGAAAGCCCCGGGCUUAACCUGGGAAUUGCAUUUCAGACUGGGUAACUAGAGUACUUCAGGGAGGGGUAGAAUUCCGCGUGUAGCGGUGAAAUGCGUAGAGAUGUGGAGGAAUACCGAAGGCGAAGGCAGCCCCUUGGGAAUGUACUGACGCUCAUGUGCGAAAGCGUGGGGAGCAAACAGGAUUAGAUACCCUGGUAGUCCACGCUGUAAACGCUGUCGAUUUGGGGGUUGGGGUUUAACUCUGGCGCCCGUAGCUAACGUGAUAAAUCGACCGCCUGGGGAGUACGGCCGCAAGGUUAAAACUCAAAUGAAUUUGACGGGGGCCCGCACAA
RNAcentral lists this ribosomal RNA (905 nucleotides) under uncultured bacterium. RNAcentral describes it as "bacterial SSU rRNA". It matches the Rfam family "Bacterial small subunit ribosomal RNA", at positions 33 to 928 of the family's 1533-position model. The record is from RNAcentral.